This 5228-nucleotide long non-coding RNA is filed under the name Nicotiana benthamiana. RNAcentral describes it as "long non-coding RNA (NBEN_LNC003963)". The record is from RNAcentral. Lineage: Eukaryota; Viridiplantae; Streptophyta; Magnoliopsida; Solanales; Solanaceae.
CCCCCUCUCCAUCGUCUCUCUCAGAGAUGAACCAGACACCCCCCUGAAACCCUAGCUGCCAUGGAAGCACCAAGCUUGCAACCCUGCGGCAGCCACCCCAAUCCACACCAAAAUAACACUCUUGAUACACCUCAACCCCCUCUCCAUAAAUCCAUUAACCUUUUACCUCGAAUCACCCUACAACUUCUCGAAUCUUCAAUUGAAGAUUCAAGCCAAACUGAACCCUACCCCAAUCGAGCCAAAUUCACAUCACAGCACCCCUAGGCCAUCCUCACCCCUAAGCCGCCACUGUUUCUCUUCGAAUCACCUGGGAACCACUCGAAUCCCAAUUCGAACCCAAGAACCCUAGAAGACCAAAACUUUGGUUCUGUCCAAAAAUUGAAGAAAUUAGGGUGUCAAUCGAGAACACUUGAUUAAAGUCCAUUUUCUACCCCAAAAAGGCUCGAGUCUGAGUUCGAAAUCGAGGUCGUCCAGCUUUUGUCUAUUUUAAGGUAUUUUUCUUCUGUUCUUUUAUUCUUUUGGUAUUAUUAAUUUAUUUUUAGUUUUGUUAUUUUGAUUUUUUUCGAUUUUUGUUAUAUAUUAUGUUCUUCUCCAAAUCAGGCCUUUUAUUUGGCAAAUUUUCCUUUCUUCUGUUCAUUGAUGAAGUAUAGGCUGUACAUUAUAUAAUCAACGUGAGUACAUUUGUCGAUUAAUUGGUUCCCUUAUAGCCUAUGUUUUUGUCAAUGUCACUCGAACCCGUCUGUUGGUGUUUACUCUAGAUUUUGUUCUAUUUCUGGUUGAAUGGUCCAAACCAGGACAAGAGCAGUAGAACUUGUAUAAACUGUAGCUAUUUUCGUAAUUGCUCGUUAUUACUAUUAGUUCAAAGUGUGUCGUCUAUGAUUGUCUAUCAUCUGGAUUAUGAAUUCAGUUUAUUCUUCGUUCAGUGCAUUUGUUUAGGUUUGAUUUAGGAAUGUGAUUUGUUUCCAAUGUGGAUAGUGUUUAUUUUGUGUCAGUCAUGUUUCUUUUUAGAAGUUCAAUACAGCUUUGUUCUCAUUCAUUGGUUUUAGUAGUUCUAAAUUGAACUGCUGAUUAAGGUUGAUGAAUUGAAUCUCAAUAUCUGGUCUGAUUAAAUCUGUCAUUGUUGAGUUAUCCUAAUGUGGUUGACAGGAAAUUAGUUUCAUAUGUUUAGUAAUCAGAUUGGUUAUAGCUGAUAAUUAAAUUUGAGUUUUAGAUAGUUCUAAGUUUGGUUUCCCUUGCUGAUGUUGGGAAUCAGAACAAUAGUAGUUAGUAGGAGUCCCACGGUAUUUUAGGAAUAAAAAAAAUAAGAAAAUGAAAUUUGACUGAAUAGUCUAUCCUGUAGGACCUCAAUGUGCUUUAAUUUGAAUUAAUUAGUAGGGGGACCAUUGACAAUGAUGAAUGUUGACUACUUUGCUUAAUCGAAAUUAGGAAUAGUGUAAGUGAUGAUAAAAGUCGCAUAGAAUAGUAUCUUUUGGGGGCUGAAUGUUAAAGUAAGGUAAUAAUAAAAGGUUUAUAGAGUAAUAAUUAAAGUGGAAGAAAAAAGAGGGUCUUAUUUGAAUAAAUAAGAGCCAUUGACUAUUUUUAAGGGAUCAGAUUUUACAGAACAAAAAACUUGAAAAAAAGAAGUAAGGGUCUUCAGAAUCAAAAACAGUUGGAAAUUUUCUGCUCCUAGUUUCAAAAAUCAUUUCGAGUGUUGGAAGUGUUAGUUGACUGAGAGUUUUUUAUAGGUUUUUAGGCAGUUGAAAAAGAGUUUAAAAAAAUCAGUUUUGUGAAUUCUUCCUUGAAAACUUCUUUUGAAAGCUUAGACCUAGUCUGUUUGAAGUAUAAGUGGGGCAUUGUUCCAUUAAGUUCUAGCUUUAGAAGUUCAUUUGGGGUCUAUUGGGUAGUGAUUGUUGCUGUGAGGUUAUACAAUGCAGUUUGAUUUUGGUAUUAGUGUAUCUCUGGUUUGAAGUUGGUAUUGCUGCAUCAGUUAGUAGUUCAGUAAAAUAAUGUAAGCAUCCAAAAAUAUAUGUAUUAGCCUCAAUCUGGUAUAGCUUAAAUUUGCAAGUCCAAAUCCGUUUAUGUUAGUUAGGAAAAAUUAAUGAAAACAACAUGACUAUUCUGCCUAUUCUAGUUAUUUUUUUCUUUCGACUCAGUUGUAGAAUAGUUAAAUAGACCUCAUGUGAAUAAUAAUUAACUAGUAAUUCUAGCUGAUAGUUCGUCUAUUCUAGGCUCACAAUAAGCUUCUCCAACCGUUAAUUUCAUAUUUUGCCUUUACUUGUUAGUAUCAAACAUAGGCAAACAAAGUAAUCAGCCCUCCUUAAAGGCCAAACGAGAUGGCCCAGGCCCAUUUAUGCCCUGCUUGGGCCUAAGAUAAUUUCGAAUUAAGUGGCCCAGGCCUCCAUCCUUGCGCCUCACGUCGGGUUUGGAGCCCAAACUGUUUUUCUACUCUUUUCCCCUUUUUUUCAUUGCUAAGUUAAUACCAUGGUUUUAAUUUAGUCUAAUAAUUCUAGCAUGUAAAUAAUAUAUGAUUUUUUAUUUCUUUUUAGAGACGCAAACAAAAAUAGAAAAUAUUAGUCGCUAUAGGACAUCCUUUAAAAAUGAAAUGGGCGUGCCUCGCCAAAAUCAAAUUAGAAAUCGUGAGGCCCUCAAUUAAAAGAAUAAUAAGUGAAUAGACUUCGGAAUUGGCCGUUUAGUGAAUUUCACGGCCUUUUUCCCCAAAAAUAAUAUGUUAGUCUCUUUAGGACGCGCCUUAAUUAAACUUUACCUUCCUAAACUCGGGUGUGCAUUUAUGCGACCCAAAUUCAAGUCUCGAUGAAGUCGAAACGUGUCAACCAACUACGUGUACACUGGUUGUGACGUGGUUCGAGAUGCAUUUCAAUGACGUCGUAAUUCUUAAAAAUAAGCAACUAAAAGAGGUGUGCCUCGCCAAACGAAAAAAUACGCAAAUUGCGGGGUCCUCUAUCCAUGUUCGUUGUGCAAGAUCGCUUAGACUCUGGACUGGCCAGUUGAUAAGAAUUCACGGCCUUGUCCAAAACCAUACUACGCAAGUCGCUUAGGGCGCGUCUUUAAUAAAAUGACCUCCCUAAAUACGGGUAUGCAUUUAUACAACCCAAAUCCAAAUCUCGAUGAAGUUGAAAUGUGUCGAAGACCACGUGUACACUGGUUGUGACGUGGUUCGAGAUAUGUUUUCACGACAUUGUAAUUCUCUGUAAAAUAAUAAUAAUAAUUAUUAUUAUUAUUAUUAUUAUUAUUAUUAUAAUGAUAAAAACUGUUCCAAGUUAAUAUUUGCUUUUAAGAUCAUAAUUGUAAAAAUCAUAUAAUUAAGCCGAAUAUGAAAGUUGAGCGACCGUGCUAGAACCACAAAACUCGAAAAUGCCUAACACCUUCUCCCGAGUUAACAGAAUUCGUUAUUCAGAUUUAUGGUUCCCUGACGGUUAAACUGAGUCAUUCUUUUCCUCGAUUCGGGAUUAAAAUCGGUGACAUGGGACACCAUAAUCUCCCAAGUGGCGACUCUUAAUUAAAUAAAAAAAUCCCGUUUCAAUUGUCCGUUAAUUGAAAAAACUCCCUUGCGCCCUCGCGGUUGCAAAAAAAGGAGGAUUGACAGCUCUGGCGACUCUGCUGGGGAUAUCCUGACCCAGAACCACUGGUUCAGGGUUAGAAAUUCGAGCUUAGAAGAAUUGUUCUUUUUGGGUUUAUUUAUUAUCUGAUUUUAUUAUAUGAUUGAGCUUAAAUGUGCGAAAUGAUGCUUUUUACCGCUUUGACAUUAUUUGAAUUGUAUAUAUAAAAUGUACUGAAACCCUUCUCUUCUCUCUUUUGAGGAGUGCACGCUGUUCGUGACUUCUUUCUGUUAGUGUCAUAAUCCCAAUUUAGUACGGGAAUUCGGUGGGAUUGCAAAACCGGAGGAUCUUUUGUUUACCGGCACGCAGUUCCCAUCCUCGGCUUGAGUUGUUCGCUCGGGUAAAAAGCCAGGUCUGGAACAAUAACCCAGGUUGAAGUUUAGUAUAUCAUAUCUUCAUGCCGGAUCCCUAGUAGGAAACGUUUGUUUUGCAUCACGUUGCAUUUGACUUAGGGGGAUCAACACAGGGGUUGGGCCCGCCUAGGAAUAGAAACCUGAAACAAAAAAACCAUCCUCCUGCAUCUUGUUUGAUUUAUGUAUCUAUUUGUUCAGACUCGCAUGCUGACCGACAUACGAAAUUGGGAAUAUUAGAAAAUUGCAAGAGAGAGAAAUAGCAGUGUAAAGAUAACUAUUAUUUUUUUUAAAAUAAAAAAUUAAAAGAGUCAAUAUUUUUGGAUUUUCUUGUUUUCAAAGAGUCUUUAUUUUUUGAAAUAGGUUAAUUUAUUAUAUGUUGACAAAAAAAAACAGUCUUUGUUAUAAGUUUGGAAAAAUAGGUUAUUCAAAAUGAAAAUCAUUAUUUUGUCUUGCUUUCAAGAAAUAAAAAAGAAAAAUAGUUUGCUGCCAAAAAUGAAAAUAAAAAGGAUCUUGUUUUAAAAUAGUCUAGUUAAUUGGGCGAACUACACUGGUUUGAUUCUCACAGGGUGUGGGAUAUGUAGGCAACCCUCAUCGGGUCCAAUUGCCCUUUUACAAAAAUAACCAAAAAUGUUGAUUUUCAGAGUCGGGCUAGACUGUUUGUCGAAUAUAGCCGAAUUUUCCCUAAAGGGACGACGGAAGGUUAAUUUUACGAAAAUAGCCACUUUUGGUCGUUAUUGAUUUUUUUACCAAAUUAGCCCCUGCAGUCCUAAACCCUCGUCCUCGAGGCUCUGAAAGGCCGUAAUCGCACGACGGAUUGUGUUUUUGAAAAAUAAUUUUUGCAUACGUUAGGUGACGCCGUUUUAUCAUAAUAGCCGAAUUUUCCCGAAUAGGACGCCGGAAGGCUGACUUGGUAUGAACGGCCGCCUUUAGUCAUAUUUUAGUCAGCACAGCCUUGAAAAUUCUCCGCCCACGAGGUGUUGAAAGGCCGUGUUCAAAUUGUAUCUUCUGUUUUGUUUGAAUUUUGAAAAUUUUAGGUCCAUUUUGAGUCCAGUAUAGCAAGCCUUUGCCUAAAACCACUCCAACAAAUGUGCAGAAUGAAUCGCGAAAUCCCCAGAUUUUGUAUGGUAUCCAACAUUCACCCAAGGCUGGUAAGUUGGUGGGAGAAUCUUCACGAUGGUGACCAGGCCUUCAUCUGCAGGCAACUAGGGGAUCUCCCUUCGCUUUGAAAGUCCGCCAGACAACAGAAUCAUUGAGGCCAUUGCUUUAUUCUGGGACUACG